Molecule: non-coding RNA, 73 nt
Organism: Phrynosoma platyrhinos (Desert horned lizard)
Lineage: Eukaryota; Metazoa; Chordata; Lepidosauria; Squamata; Phrynosomatidae
Source: the annotation of a GenBank genome assembly
UAUUAUGUGGUAUAGUGGUUUUUAGCAUUAGACUAGGACUCUUGAGACCAGGGUUUGAAUCCCUGCUUGAGCA